RNAcentral lists this ribosomal RNA (201 nucleotides) under Cosmospora khandalensis. RNAcentral's name for it is "partial 18S ribosomal RNA". It matches the Rfam family "Eukaryotic small subunit ribosomal RNA", at positions 1591 to 1789 of the family's 1831-position model. Lineage: Eukaryota; Fungi; Ascomycota; Sordariomycetes; Hypocreales; Nectriaceae. The record is from RNAcentral.
UAUUGCUCUUCAACGAGGAAUCCCUAGUAAGCGCAAGUCAUCAGCUUGCGUUGAUUACGUCCCUGCCCUUUGUACACACCGCCCGUCGCUACUACCGAUUGAAUGGCUCAGUGAGGCGUCCGGACUGGCCCAGAGAGGUGGGCAACUACCACUACGGGCCGGAAAGCUCUCCAAACUCGGUCAUUUAGAGGAAGUAAAAGU